Molecule: long non-coding RNA, 389 nt
Organism: Pyrus x bretschneideri (Chinese white pear)
Lineage: Eukaryota; Viridiplantae; Streptophyta; Magnoliopsida; Rosales; Rosaceae
Exons: 2
Source: RefSeq, a predicted model, not a curated record
CUCUCUCUCUUUCCUCUGUACGGAGGAUUUGCAUUUUGGGUUGCAGACCCGGUGCCUCGGGGCAGACGGUGGUAACUCCCUCCCCUCUCAAAAAUCUCUGAUCGAAGGUUUUAAAAUCUUCAACUUGGAUACAAGAUUUAAUAUAACAUGAGCACUCGGGGGGCCAGGGCGCCACAUGCAAGAGGGCGGCGAAGAAAGAAUGAGUUGAACUUGGACCUCAAUAGUGCCCCACCUGGUGACAGUCGGGAACAGGAGGGAACUUCAACUCAGUCAGUGCCUCAGAAUAAUCAAGCGACUUUGCAAGUUCAGCCCAUACCACCUAAUACGAUUGAUGUUGAGGCUAUUGAUGAUGAUGUUAUUGAAUCCAGCCCCACGGCUUUUGCUGAGGC